CGGGGUAUGGCGUAAUUGGCAUCGUGUUUGCCUUGGGAGCAAAAGGUUGCUGGUUCGAGUCCGGCUACCCCGAUCA
This 76-nucleotide transfer RNA is filed under the name Chloroflexota bacterium. RNAcentral's name for it is "Chloroflexi bacterium tRNA-Pro". It matches the Rfam family "tRNA". From Rfam's summary of the family: Transfer RNA (tRNA) molecules are approximately 80 nucleotides in length. Their secondary structure includes four short double-helical elements and three loops (D, anti-codon, and T loops). The record is from RNAcentral. Lineage: Bacteria; Bacillati; Chloroflexota.